RNAcentral lists this ribosomal RNA (301 nucleotides) under uncultured bacterium. RNAcentral's name for it is "partial 16S ribosomal RNA". It matches the Rfam family "Bacterial small subunit ribosomal RNA", at positions 509 to 809 of the family's 1533-position model. The record is from RNAcentral.
CAGUCGCCGCGGGAAUACGUAGGCAGCGAGCGUUGUUCGGAAUUACUGGGCGUAAAGAGUGUGUAGGCGGUGCUCUAAGUUCGGUGUGAAAUCUCCUGGCUUAACUGGGAGGGUGCGCCGGAAACUGGAGUGCUCGAACGUGGGAGAGGAAAGCGGAAUUCCUGGUGUAGCGGUGAAAUGCGUAGAUAUCAGGAGGAACACCUGCGGUGUAGACGGCUUUCUGGACCAUUGUUGACGCUGAGACACGAAAGCGUGGGUAGCAAACAGGAUUAGAUACCCCAGUAGUCCCUGUCUCUUAUAU